Long non-coding RNA from Oncorhynchus gorbuscha (pink salmon), 714 nucleotides. RefSeq lists it as uncharacterized. NCBI's taxonomy places the organism in Eukaryota, Metazoa, Chordata, Actinopteri, Salmoniformes, Salmonidae. The record is from RefSeq and is a predicted model, not a curated record. The transcript has 2 exons.
GUAGACAAUCAAACGUGGUAGAAUAUUUUACAUAAAUAAGGCUAUAUGAUAAGACAGAGUCCAUAUAUUGCACAGGUCCGCUACUAAUUAGAAGGAUAGAUAGCACCCGUGCUGUCAUGAUAUACCUUCCUCCUCCCAACUCCACCCGACACCUACUGUAUUCCACCUGUUUGAAUCGAACUUGAAUGCCGCCGUCCCGAACCAUCUCCUAUACCACACACCCACAAACCAUGUAUCGUCGAUGGGACAUGUGUCCGCGGAAUGGCUGGCUAAAAUCCAGGAAGUGCAGUUCCAGAAGCCGAAACGCACAAAGCGGGGCUGCCCGACUGUCCCAUGCGGGACUAAAUGGAGCUAUUGGCACUGUUUCUUUCGUUUGAUGGAUAUGGACAUGAAGAAUUCAUGUGUGCUUUUCCCCCCACGUUUUCUUUGACCCAUUGUAACGAAAACCUAUUUCGUAUGAAAUGCAGGGGUUUGAGCCAGCACAUGAUUGGUAGGCUACAUUGUAAAAUACGAGCUAUAAUUUCAAUCAAAUUUGAAUUUAUAUUUUAUAUUUUCACUACCCAGAUUGUCAUAACUGGAUAACCUAUUGUAUUGGUAUAAUAAUAAUAAAAAAUACUAUGUAUAACGGAAUUAAGUAAACCUAUGAAUUAAUUUAUUAAUAAUAAUUAUAAUUAUUGUUAUUAUUGUAGGCAUAGUCCUCACAUAUUUGAUGUU